This 1886-nucleotide long non-coding RNA is filed under the name Scleropages formosus (Asian bonytongue). Its description in RNAcentral is "lncRNA (ENSSFOG00015030778.1)". Lineage: Eukaryota; Metazoa; Chordata; Actinopteri; Osteoglossiformes; Osteoglossidae. The record is from RNAcentral.
GUGAAAUAGUUGAAUGAUGGGUCACAUUUCUGUGUAUAAAUACAGUGCAUAUGUAGGAAGUACAAGUAGAGAACAUACAUAGGACAGUACAGUACUUGUGUUUUUGGAGCAUACAGUACCAGUCAAAAGAUUGAGUACACUUGCUGGAGUCUAGGUUUAUUCAUAAUUGACAUUUUAUGACAGACAAGUUUCUGUAAAUAUUCAAAAAUUAAAACAAAUUAGAAGACACAAAACAAAAGAUUGUAAUGAUUGUAAGUGUUUUAGAAAACUGGGAACUGUGUAAAUCUUGGAUUCCUUAAGUAGGUGUACUCAAACUUUUGACUGGUACUGUUCUUACAAGGAGCUUGAAAGCGUUAGAGGGAUACUUUGAAACUAAAUCCUGAUGGAUGCCAUUGAUUACGAUGCGGCACUUGACCCUGAGCUUGGUCUCAGCGGGCAGCCGAACAGUGAUCUGUGCAUGGACCAAACGGAGGGUCGGGUGUACAUCGGGGAUGCCAUUGAUUAUGAUGAGGCACCUGACCCUGAGCUCAGCCUCAGUGGGCAGCCGGGCGGUGAUCUGGGUACGGACCAGACGGGCGAUCAGGAUGCCAUCGACUGUGAUGCAGCACCUGACCCUAAAACCAGCUUCAAGGAACACUCUGAGAGUAACAUGUACACCGGCCAAACCUUGGACCAGGAUGUCUUUCAUUGUGAUGCAGCACCUGACCUUGAGACCACCCUGAAUGGGCAGCUGGACAGAAAUGUGUGCACAGACCUAACCGAGGAUCAAGUGUGUCUUGGGGGUUACACUGCAGUCAAAACACCUGUAAAAUACUCUUUCAUUAAGGAGCAAGUGAGAAGGAAAAUCCCAUCGUUACGAGUGAAACUGAAAACUUGGAAGAAACCGAAAAAAUGGAAGGAAAUGCAUUCAAACUUAAGAAGAAAAGUCAAAUCACCCAGAAACAGGCCCAGACUCAAAACCCUGCAUCUGAAGCCAGAAACCAGAAGUUGCAAUGUUUCUAUGUUACUUACAAAACCACCAUUGAGCCUCCUUAAUGUUGAAACUAUUGCUGAAAUUUAUUUUGUUAAACCAAAGUAUGUCAAAGUACAUCAGCUACAAUUUUUAGAGCAGUUAUCAGUCUUUACCGAUAUUCCCGACAAGUUUUGCACCAAUAUAUACAGCAAAUCAUUUACUGUUUUUGAUAUCAUAUCCAGACUUUCUAAAAAGGAUUUAUUGCAACUCAGUAAGGAAAGUAUACAUAUUGGGAAAACAAUGAAUUCAUGUGUCCCAAAAUUUGAUAAUAAUACAAGGCAAUUUUUUUUAGAUCUUAUUGAUGAAGUGAAAAAAUCCGGUGAAGUGACAAAAGGCAGGAUAAAGUUAGAUAAUCAACAUGCAUGGGUUUUUAUAACAGAUGGUAAUCAUAAUAUAAAAUAUUUUAAUGCUCAAAGGCCUGAUUCCAAACAUUCUGAAGUGCUUCUUUGUGAAAAAAUUAAUGAUUUUCUUGAAGAUCAGUCUUUGGAUCCCAGAAACUUAAAAAUUUUUUGUAUACUUUAAACAGUCCUUGCAUUUAUAAAACAUCGGGGCAGUGCUGCAUGGCCAUUCUUUUGAAACAGUGCCAGAAGUGGAGAGAACAUGGCAUUAAAUGUUUUAUUGGAUUCAGCAGGUUCUGGGGUUUCGAUGGCCAUGUACUGAGGUACCUAAAGAAACAGAACCUCAGGGACUGUAUUCAAUGGCUUAGCAAAAAUCCUGAAGGAGUGUAUGAGCAGUACAGAAAAAUACACAGUGAUGUGUGUGAUAUCACAGAGUUUGAUAUUAUGAAACAGGUAACACAUCUCACAGUGCCAGAUUUCACACUGAAAUCAGAGAAAUUUAUCAGUAUCUUGAAUAAAUCCAUAAAUAGCUGCCA